Molecule: RNA transcript, 2243 nt
Organism: Ziziphus jujuba (common jujube)
Lineage: Eukaryota; Viridiplantae; Streptophyta; Magnoliopsida; Rosales; Rhamnaceae
Gene name: transcription factor GTE3, chloroplastic
Exons: 4
Source: RefSeq, a predicted model, not a curated record
CUCUCAUGGAGUGGAAGAGAAAGUAAGUGAGACGAAGACGAUGAGUUCGAUUCGAUAUCAAUGUAUCUCCAUAGGAUUUCUCAGAAACACCUCCAAAACCUUAUUUUUCCAAUUUAUGAGAACUCAAUUUAUACCAGAAUUUGUUAAACCCUAGCUCCGUACGUUCCCAAUUCGCUUCAAAACCCUAAUACGCAGUAAUUUUUUUUUUUUUUAUUUUUCCUUUUUGCAAAAUCAUGUGCUAAAAUUUCCGUAAUCCCAGCUGCAAGAUUGAUUCUCGUUUCAGUAUUUUUCUUUCAGAGUAAAAAAUUUCGGAUUUUUGUGGCGAUUUUUCAUGCAUGGCUUCGGGGUCAAUGCUUGGUGAUGAUGCUAAAGAGAAGCACAGGUCGGCACAAAGCAACAAGAAGUUCCAUAGCCGAAAGAACCAGAAGCCCAAGAACCCUAACCUCCUCUCCCGACGAUCCUCGCAAACUCUAGUCGCUCCCAUCACCGACAAUAAUGAUUCAUCGCCGCCCCACCACUUUUUGCGUGUCGACGAUGCGGCGGGGUCAAACGACUUGUCGUACCACGACCACCCUCUACCUCGCGGCUCCGAACAGGCCAAUGAGAACGGAUUUCCUGGGUACAUGGAGUUCGAAAACCGGGUUAGAAUAAGCUUGGAUUCGAGGUCGAAAAUGGAUAUCAGAGAGCUGAGGAGGAAGCUUUUGAGUGAGCUUGAUCAAGUGAGAUGCUUGGUGAAGAAACUUGAGUCUAAGGAGUUUCAGCUCAGUGGGUAUAGCCAUUCUCAAUUCUCGGCUAACUAUGCGGUAGACAAUAUGGGAAGCACAGAGAGGCUGAAUUCCGGGGUGGGUUUGAAAGGACCGCGUGAUUCGAGACUGUUUCGGGGUUUAAGUGAUUCAGUAGCAGAGAACAAUCAUGGGGUUGUUGGUGAAGUUGGUGGGAAGAAGAAGAAGAAGAAGUUGCCAACUCCUGAGAGUGACAAGAAAAUGAAAACCGGUGGAGGGAAAAAAGAUGAGCUUCGAGGGAGAUUUUUGCCAGGGAAAGAUAAGUAUUCGAGCCAAUUGUUUAAUAGUUGUAGUGAUUUACUAGGCAAAUUGAUGAAACAUAAAUUUGGUUGGAUUUUUAAUGUCCCUGUAGAUGUGAAAGGCCUUGGACUUCAUGAUUACCAUACAAUUGUUAAACAUCCAAUGGAUUUAGGCACUGUGAAGACUAGGCUAAACAAGGGAUGGUAUAAAUCGCCAAUGGAGUUUGCGGAGGAUGUGAGGCUUACUUUUCAUAAUGCUAUGUUUUAUAACCCCAAAGGGCAGGAUGCUUAUUUUAUGGCAGAGCAGUUGUUGAAGAUAUUUGAACCAAAAUGGUUAGCUUUAGAAGCGGAAUAUAAUCUCAAUAAGACGUUAGAAGUGGGUAAGGCUGAUUUGCCAACACCUGCCUCAAGAAAAGUUCAGAAUCCUGCUACUGCACCUCCCCGUCUUCCUCCUCGUCCUGCUUCACCGCCGCCAAUGUCGACUCUGGAUAGGUCAGAAUCACAUACAAAGCCUGUGGAUCCCAAAUUGAAACCAGAGGGUUUUGGUCAUGUAGGCAGAACACCAGUUCCGAAGAAACCAAAAGCUAAGGAUCCUGAUAAAAGGGAUAUGACAUAUGAGGAGAAGCAGAAGCUUAGUGCUAACCUUCAGAAUUUGCCUUCUGAGAAGCUGGACAAUGUUGUUCAGAUUAUUAAGAAAAGAAAUCCACGGCUUUUUCAACAAGAGGAUGAAAUUGAGGUGGAUAUUGCCAAUGUUGAUCCGGAAACACUUUGGGAACUGGAUAGAAUCUGGCGCCAUCUGCUGCAGAGGUACAGAAAGAAGCUGAAACAGUUGAGAACAACGUUACUGAAUAUUCCCCAGUUGGAAGAGUGGAGAAAGGUGAUGAUGUGAGCAGAGCGAGUAGUUCAGGUGGCUCUGGUACUGAUGCCGGAUCCUCUUCAAGUGACUCUGACAGUGACAGUUAAGACUUAAUGUGGAUCGGAUUGGAGUACUUGCACUGAAAACUUGGCAGAUUCAGUAAGAGGAUAGGAUGUAUCUAACUCGAUGAAUGUAAUUAAUCGAUGAUGUUUUGUUAGUCAACCGACCUUUGUUGAUUUUACUCUUAAAGCUGUAGAAAGUUUCCUGAUUGAAUCACUGUAGAUGCUGAUAGUGGCUAUUGACUGCUUUUAAAACCAUGUCCAAAAGGCUUAUUUAGGCAAUGAUUAUAUGAUAUUUUUCAGAAGA